This 468-nucleotide ribosomal RNA is filed under the name uncultured bacterium. RNAcentral's name for it is "partial 16S ribosomal RNA". It matches the Rfam family "Bacterial small subunit ribosomal RNA", at positions 28 to 507 of the family's 1533-position model. The record is from RNAcentral.
GACGAACGCUGGCGGCGUGCUUAACACAUGCAAGUCGAACGGAAAGGCCCUGCUUUUGUGGGGUGCUCGAGUGGCGAACGGGUGAGUAACACGUGAGUAACCUGCCCUUGACUUUGGGAUAACUUCAGGAAACUGGGGCUAAUACCGGAUAGGAGCUCCUGCUGCAUGGUGGGGGUUGGAAAGUUUCGGCGGUUGGGGAUGGACUCGCGGCUUAUCAGCUUGUUGGUGGGGUAGUGGCUUGCCAAGGCUUUGACGGGUAGCCGGCCUGAGAGGGUGACCGGCCACGUUGGGACUGGGAUACGGCACAGACUCCUACGGGAGGCAGCAGUGGGAAAUAUUGCACAAUGGGCGGAAGCCUGAUGCAGCAACGCCGCGUGCGGGAUGACGGCCUUCGGGUUGUAAACCGCUUUCGCCUGUGACGAGGCGUGAGUGACGGUAAUGGGUAAAGAAGCACCGGCUAACUACGUG